CGCCGGCAACCGUAGGUAUGGGUUCGAUGUCGCUUCGCAUUAGCUUCCCCGGUUUCGUCCUCGUCUCGCCUUUGGUUGGUGGUGCCUCCGAUCGAUGGAAGAGGGCUUUGGGUGAUACUUUUACCAACAAUUUACGAUCUAUAACCAUGAGGCCACUGUCACUGUCUGGUCUUCAAAUGCGCGCAGCGUAAACAGCGGAAUGAGUGCCCGCUCGAUCCAAUUAAUGUAUCAUCAAUCGCAAUUAGGGAAAGUGGUUGAUAUAGUGGGCACUUUUGGGGCUCGCUCAUUGCGCGGUCAUAGCGGUUAGAAAGUGAGCUCUAGUUGACGGUUUGAAUGAUUUCAUAUACGUCCGUACAGAGCCAAUGUUGCAAUUGAAGUUAAUUAAUGCUUAUACAGCAACAACGAUCUUCGUUCUAUUUGGUAAUAUUAAGCCUGUUUUCUCUUUUCAUCUCACUUACAGGUAAGAGAACGUGGCGCAAUUGUUUGUGGAAUCUAAUUACGACGAGCUCUGACGUAUUGAUGGGUGAGGAGCUACAACGAGCUCGAAGGUGUAUCGACUGCGAUCGUGGUGGUGUUAAGCAACUAGAGGACUAGAGCCGACUCUCAUUGGUGCCCAUCAAUCCGGACGUUCUGUUUAUUUAAGAAGCAGUUUCCACGACCGAAAUUGCCUCAUCUUCACCACAGGAUACUUUCCGUUUUGUGCGCGCCACACUCAUACAAAAUCAACGUUGCAUCAUAAAGACGGCACAACGACGGCGCCUCUGGUACGAUCCAUCAACGGAUCAUUGAAACAGUGAAUAUUGGAAAUGAUCGCUAAUGGAGGAGCUGUGGAUUUAAAUCCUUGCCUCCCCGCCUAGAGGUGUGUGCGAUGCUGGGGUUAUGCAAUCGACCGUGUGCUGCAUUCGAGGAUCAAUUUACGAGAAGAUUAUGAACGACACCGAGCGUAGAAGGAAGCGUUUUUUUAUUGGAAGGAAACGAUUGAAUUGAAAUGCACAGGCCAGCGCUCGGAUGUAACCGUUACGGAAAUGGACAACAGCAAAAUUGAUGAUGCACUGAUGGACCACCCCAGCGCGCGUGUGUGUGUGUGUGUGUUGGGCUUUUCUUUCUGUUUGUUGCUUCCGCUCGGAGUUGAGGCAGAAGCGCUCGGCUUAAACCUGUGAACUCGACACCGCGCUCUCUUUGCGCAGUUGCUUGCGGUUACAAGAUGGCCCCAAUUUUAACGACAGCCACCCGCCCGAUUGCAGCAGUACGCGGGGCAACAUCACCAUUGCCCAACCCCGUUGAUGACUUUUCGGGUGGGUUGGUCGGUUGUUUUGUCGUGGAAAAUUGCCGCCAUCCUUUGGCUGCAAACCGGGCGUGUGCAACCGGGCGUAACGAUUUGGCCCUCUUUCGCGCGGGACCAAAGUGACCGGCGACUCCCUCACCUCAGCAGCGCAUCCGCAGCGACUGUCUACUCAGUUACCCACUAGGAGUGUUUUGGGGGGCGGUAGUUAUUUUCCUUUAAUUUUCACAAAUUUCGACAACCGGCAAACGGUUGUUGCUGCGCUGGCUUUCUUUGCGGGGUCGAACAGGCGGUGAUGCAAUUUUAAUGGAGACCUUUCUCCCGCGAGGUGUGAAUAUUUGGGUGUCCAACUCCCUGUCGUUUGCUACGCUUUGUUCCGCUUGGUGUUGGUGCAUUUAUUUUGUCCACAGCAACACAGCCCCCAUCAGGGGGGAGUGCAUAUGUUUAUUUAUUUUCUUUCCUUUCCUGCCCCCAACCUGGUUUGCUGCGGACGAACGGUUGAUUAUGAUGCUUCAUUAUGCUCCAUUUACUCCAUUCUUCGGCUCGGUGGCACGAGUAGGAAACAUGAAGGUUGGAGGUUGUAAACUUUCGCCUUCAGAUGGGGUUGAGCAAAAAGAAGGGUUGUGUGGAAACACGUUUUGGAACACAAAAAACCCCUCUGAAGCCACAAACAAAGCGCCACAGUUCAUAAAGCGAUUCAUUACGUUUAAGUGAUGGAAUCAUUACGCGAAGUCUUGCGCGGGUUUUCUCUAAUGUUAGUUUCAUUUGUUCGUGCGAUGUGAUUAUGGAGUUUUGGCUGGAGUGUUUGAUUGUGAAUAAGAAGCACGAACUAAAGCGUCGCUCGAGAGGUGUGGCUUUUAAUUAGAGCAUCCAUCCAUUUCACAACUGGUCAUGGUGCACAAACUGCGAACAAUAUUGCACCAACCAAUGGCGAUGAUGGCGGUGUGUAGGUGGAGGAAACCAUCACCAGCCAAUGCUGCACCACUCGAACAGUUGUGUGGGAAAUGGAGCCGGCUUUAAUGAAGUUUUGAAGUUUGAAGGAAAACUGUGAAAAGUACAUUGCUAAACAUCACAACAACACGUUCUCUGUUGACGCCAAACUCCCCCCGCACAAACAACCACAACAACAUCAAUCUACGCAAUCCAUAAUUUCAUUCUGACCUCGUGCCGCACACCCGCAUAACCCCCGGCCGCAAGACGCAGAGCACCAGUAGAGUGUUUGUGUUCGUGUGUAGUUUUCGGUGAAUCUUGUACCCGCAGAUCGGGCCGGCCUUAAGUGAGUGGUCUUAUUAUCCACUUAAAAGUAGCCGCCGAUACAGCCGCCGGGCGAACCAUUUUGCAAUACACACCAAUACCAGCAUCGGCCACCAUAUUUCCGCGAGAUCCCUUUUUUCAUACUGUGUGGAGCAUUAUUUUGCGUUCCAAGUGUGUGUGUGUGUGUUUGCUGAUGUUUUCGUGUGUGGAGAAGGUUUAUGCUGCUGGUUCGGGCUGACUGAUUUUGGACUGCUGCGAACGUUUCGUUGCAACGUUGCCGUACUUCUGGAUGCAUCUGAUUGGCUGACUUUAUUGAGUGUGGAAAGGAGAAUAAUCCAAUAAGAAAUAUAGGCAGAUUUUAAAGCAAUAUAAUACAAUUAGAUUUUAGAGAACACCAGAAGCAUCAGAGCGAAUGGCAAAAGGGAAUUGCUUUUUCUAAAAUAAACGACACAAAAAGAUCAGAAGGUAUGAGAGUAAGAUCGCGCCUGGUAGCUUAGCUGCACAUCGUGCAGAUCGGGGGGAGAGGGUUAAUAUGCUUUAUGCACUAUCUCGCAUCACGCCUCUUGACACUGUGCGCACAGAUCUCGGGUCGCGACGCGGCCGGCUGCCCCGGGACGGACGAGGGAACCACGUUAUUUAUAAAUAUUCAUGUUUGUGUUUACUGUCUGCGAUGCCGGUUUCUUGUGGCAGAUAUGUUAGACGCUUCCCGCUUUUCCCUCACGCAAAGCCGCAUAUGGUCAGCCAUUGAAGCAUAGAGUUCGGGCGUGUGCGUGUGUUUGGUUGUAUGGUUUAUGCGCUGAACGUUCAUCUGGAGAUAAAGAACGCAUCCGCGCACAGGCACACACAUGAUCGAGUGCGAGCUACUGGAUGAUAGGAGCAGAAAGCCUUCUGGCAUGCGUGUCUGUGUCUGCUGUUGCGUGUGGAAAACAUUCUUUGCCACUCGGCGGCGGUUAACAUUGGCGUUGUUCCAAUCCGCUGGCUUAAGCUACACGACAGUACGCGCACGAGAUCGUGGGGAGCAGAGAUGCCGUGUGCCGGUCGUAAUGCGCGGUAAUGAUGGUGCAUUUUUAUGCUAGAUAUGAUUCUUGUUUGUCCUGGAUUACUUAAUGGGUGGACUGGUAGAGUAGCAUGAGGCUCUACCACAAUAGCUCCACAACCAUGUCAAACGGGGCAAGCACUAACACUAACGAGACGGUUCUUGCGGUGCGUUUGUUGCAGCUAUAAAUGAAUGUUUAAUUUAAUUAGCUGCACAAGACGGACGCAGCACAACGCGGAUACGCACAUGCGGCGGGAGUACGCGUCAAACGCCAAUCCACCGAAUCCUCCCGCUUCCAAAACGGUGGCGACGGCGGCGGCGGGUCCAUUUCGCGGAUUGUUUCAAGCUAUGAAGUCGCCCCGCGAAGUUGGUGCUAUUAUUAGGCCGCGGCGCAAAUGACGGGGUCCACGUACAGCGAGCGAGCAGUCGACGUUUAAAGCCCUCUUAAAUCGAGCCAAGCAGCAGAACGACGGAGUGUGUUUGAUGUUGUGCACUGGUUGUUCCCUUUUCCUCGUGAAGCGGGGCAACUUUUUCGGGAAGAUUCAUGGAGAAGCAUGGGAGCCAUAAUUGAUAUGAGUUAUGAUAGUUUCGAGUGCAGUUCCGAAGGUAAUUGGUUUGAACUUUUCGGAAGCCAUUGGACCCGGGAAGUCCCUCCUUACGUUAUUGCGGUGGCCUUUUGAGAGAUUUCUCACCGCCCAAGUUGUUGGGGGAGAAGUACAGUUUACAGCCUCUUGUGUGUGUGGGUUUUUUUUUGGUGGAGAAUAGCAUAACAACGUCCUCCUCUUAUUCAGCUGCACUCCGAAUCUUAAGUGCUUUCGAAUACUGACUCCCCCGAAUACGGCGUUUUGGCUUGGCGAAGGUGUGUGUGUGUGAUGAUUUAUCGUUUGAAUGGGAGCGAACCGUUUUGAUAAUGUGAAUAUGCGGUAGUAGCAGUAGAGUAGAGGGUUUUAUUUCCUAAUCUACUGUUGGAGCUCGUAAAACGAAAGGCAUAAAAAUGGCGCAGAAGAAACGCACGCGGGAGACACGCGCAGUUGUAGAGCUAAUCGGUUGAGAUUUGAAAUGACUCCGUGAGAGCUGCAGGCUUUAUUUGUUGGAACUCUCUUGUUUAGGUGUGAUUUGUGGUCAUUUUUUUGUUGGGGGAAUGGGUUUUGUACGGAAGAAGAUACGGCCAAGAAUUAAUUACCAUUUUAAAGGCUAAUUUGGAAUAAACGGUAGUUUUUGUGUCACAAAUUAUGAGGUGUUGAGAGAAACAGAGGCUGGAUUAAGAUUUUGAGAUGAGAUUGUGUACGAACUCCACACGAUUCAUAUCGCUGGUGGUUAGCGAACAUUUUUGGGAAAACACUUCCAAUUAGUGUUGAGCUGCACAACGAAAAUUGAAACCACUAACCAAUGAUAAAUCAACCAAACCGUGAAGGGGUUAAAAGGCUUCGCUCAUUAUCCUCCUCGUCGUCCGGAAACUCCAAUUAGUUCGAUUGCUCACACAACCACCAUUCGAUACAUCAAUAAAAUAAUGUUUUAUUGCCAGUGAAAGUCACACUUGCAUUUUUAAUAACCCCCCUUUGAGGAGGGGAAAGGUCUAGCUUGUGCUUGCUCGUGUGUGUUGUUCACAUUUACAAUAAUUCGGCAAUGGGUUUUACGUACGCCCAAAAUAAUAAUAAAAACACAACUCCUAUAUGGCUGCAAUCCACACGUGCCCCUCUCUUUUAACGACGGGAAGCCGACGUUGGGGGAAGUUAAAACAGUAACUACACGGUAGAGCUAAACCACGGGAAAGUAAAGAAAAUGAGACAGGGCAGAAAAAUUAAGCUGCUCAAAUCCUUCCUUCAGCUUCCUUUCACGCUCUGUUUUCUUGUUAGUUAUUGUGUGUGUGCUUGUGUUGACUUCGUAUGUACACCCGCGGUGUGUGGUUUAUUGGUAUCAGUUUCACUUUUGUCCACGUGUUGCUGGAGGAUGUAAGGUGGGAAAAGCACAGGCUGGUGGAGACAUGUUGUUUUUAUAAUGUUCGAUUACUUAUGUGAACAUAUGGGCUCUGGUGUACGAAAGCGCCCCUCAGUCAGUCUCACUGUUACACGAUACGAUCUCACAUCGGGUUGUGGGUCUAUAGAGUAGUGUAGUAGAGGCACUUGCUAUAAUCAACAGACCAUAAAUUAAUGCUGCCCGCUCGUGGCCCGAAAAAGGUUAAUAGAUGCUCGCACAUUAGGAAGCGAUUUGGCUCCGGACUUCUCUGAUGGACCACUGACCUUCAUCAUUGCUGCCCCGUCAAUCAACCCUGCCUAAAGGGAGUGCAAAACAAACCCCAAAGCUGAUUGGUACGUUCGAUAGGAGGGUGAGUUUGAGUGUGUGUUGGAUCUGUGCAAAGUGCCUCGCGCCGCGGUACGGUUAACGAUUCGCCUUGAGUCACUAUUUUCGGAAGCCUUCUUUUCGAUUCCACCGGGUUGAAGGACGCUUGAAGAGAGGCCCGACAACGGUGGAAGGGAGCGAGUUGUUGCUAAAAUGCUUCUUGUGUUGUUUUUAUUGGAGAGAUGUCUUCCUAACGAAAGCCCAGGGUAUCUUGCUGCUGCAGCUGGUACCCGUUUUCAUUCGCAACUGCCUGAUUCGCAUGCAGAUCUGGUCCGUUUCUGUGUGUGUACGGGACACGUUGUUUACGGAAAACGGGGGCUAGUUGUGAAAAGGUAUCGAUUUACGGGGCCGAGUUCUCGCCCGGGCUGCUGUACGUGACACAGGCGGGCUCUCAAGUAGGUCAGACGUCUUCCACGCGCUCCUCUCUCGCGUGCUCACUCGCUCUGUUGGGCAGCUGGACCUACCCUAACCUUAAUGUCCGGGAGAUGUCCGGCAACGACGGCGCAGCGUGCGGUGUACUUUCUUCUUCGCCUCGCCGCUGCUACAUUUGCUACAGAAA
This is a long non-coding RNA of Anopheles gambiae (African malaria mosquito), 6471 nucleotides long. RefSeq lists it as uncharacterized. NCBI's taxonomy places the organism in Eukaryota, Metazoa, Arthropoda, Insecta, Diptera, Culicidae. The record is from RefSeq and is a predicted model, not a curated record. The transcript has 2 exons.